UCCUCGUUAGUAUAGUGGACAGUAUCUCCGCCUGUCACGCGGAAGACCAGGGUUCGAUUCCCCGACGGGGAG
RNAcentral lists this transfer RNA (72 nucleotides) under Takifugu rubripes (torafugu). RNAcentral's name for it is "tRNA-Asp (GTC) (tRNA-Asp-GTC-3-1)". It matches the Rfam family "tRNA". Rfam says of the family: Transfer RNA (tRNA) molecules are approximately 80 nucleotides in length. Their secondary structure includes four short double-helical elements and three loops (D, anti-codon, and T loops). Further hydrogen bonds mediate the characteristic L-shaped molecular structure. tRNAs have two regions of fundamental functional importance: the anti-codon, which is responsible for specific mRNA codon recognition, and the 3' end, to which the tRNAs corresponding amino acid is attached (by aminoacyl-tRNA synthetases). tRNAs cope with the degeneracy of the genetic code in two manners: having more than one tRNA (with a specific anti-codon) for a particular amino acid; and 'wobble' base-pairing, i.e. permitting non-standard base-pairing at the 3rd anti-codon position. The record is from RNAcentral. Lineage: Eukaryota; Metazoa; Chordata; Actinopteri; Tetraodontiformes; Tetraodontidae. RNAcentral also lists the same sequence under 6 other names.